This 1461-nucleotide unclassified non-coding RNA is filed under the name Camponotus floridanus (Florida carpenter ant). RNAcentral's name for it is "uncharacterized LOC112638740, transcript variant X1". Lineage: Eukaryota; Metazoa; Arthropoda; Insecta; Hymenoptera; Formicidae. The record is from RNAcentral.
UUUGUAAUCAAAUACAAUCGAUUUCUAUCGGGAUGUUUUAUACAAAUAUUUAAUAGACUUUAAUGCAUUUCAAUCGCAAUCACUGUUUUAUCGACUUUAAUGCCAAUGAUUGUCAAAUAUUGUAAUCGACUUUUAGACACACUCUUUGUAAUCAAAUUUAAUCGAUGUCUAUCGCGAAGUUUUAUACAAAUAUUAAAUGUACUUUAACACAUUUUAAUCCGAAAUGCUUUUUUAUCGACUAUAUUGCUACAUAUUGUGGUUCAAAUCAACCCGAUUUUACAGGUUUUUAUAACUUCUAAUUGAAUGAACUUUAAUGACAAUAAUUGUCAUGUAUUUUAAUCGACUUUUAUGGCAAGUGAAUUGAAAUGCAAUCAAUCCACUAUACUACUGUGAAUAGUGUCGCAUGAAUUUGUUUCGUGUGCGGGACUUACACUAAGCUAUUGCAUUGCAUCAGAUUUUUCUGCGCGUAAUGUACGCAUACAUAAAAUUUCUGGACGGCCCGGUCCAGGGCAACAAGUACAGAGCACCUGCGAACAAAAUCGAUUUCUCUUUUACUGACGCAACAUUUGAUGAAAAUAAAAAAUAUUUUGCUUAUCACAAGGAUGGUAACAAAUGCAAAAGUCAAAUAAUAUUUUUGACUGAUACAGAAAAGGAGCUGGAUCAUCUGAUAAAUGCUAAUAAAAGAGAGAGAAUCGUUCCAAUAAAUAAAUUAGACACUGCUAGCGAAAAAUCAGAUGCUAACGAUGGAAAAAACUGUAUUUCAAAUCCUUCUACACCAUCUCGCAAAGAAAUGUAUGAUAAAUUGAUGUCAAUUAAAAUAGAAAAGCUGGAUAUGUCGAAAACCAAACCGAAGGAUGUAACAUUAGAUAAUGGUGCAGAUGAGUCGAGCACAUUAAAGAAGAAAAUUGACGACACGCCAAAUAAAAAGAAAAAAACCUAGCUUCAUUUGGAAAAAUUAUUGGUAUAAAACCAGAUGAUUUGGAGAACAUUGUUAAUGGUUCUAGCCAAUUGAAUCGUGGACAAGAACUUCAUAUAAAUAAUUUCAACAGUGAAGAAGAAAAGGCGAAAUCAUCCCUUAAAUACAAGGAACGAGUGAUAACUGACAACUCAUUGGACGAUGAAAACAUAUCUAAUAACUCUAACCAGACAGAUGAUAAAGUGGAUGUCGAUGCCCUGCUGGAAAUAUUGGAUUAAAGUCGAUAAAAGUGAAUUGAAAAUUAAUCGACUUUAAUAUACUUUGAUCAAUUUAAUCGAUGUUUCCAAAAAUGUCGAUUAAAAUUUAAUCGAUUUCAAUCGUUUUUCUUGUUUAUCGUCUUCAAUAUCACUAAUGAGUAUUAAUUUUAAUCGAUAUGAAUUGACUUUAGAUGACAAAGAUUUUUAAUGUCUUUUAGUACGAAAAUUUACAGUAAGAAUUAAUCGAACCUUAUCGACUUUAAUCCUUUGAUAGUUUAAUAGAAUUUA